Molecule: non-coding RNA, 89 nt
Organism: Marchantia polymorpha subsp. ruderalis
Lineage: Eukaryota; Viridiplantae; Streptophyta; Marchantiopsida; Marchantiales; Marchantiaceae
Source: the annotation of a GenBank genome assembly
CAAUGCGCUUCGAUCACCCCGGAUGGUAUGACGACGUAUAAGAUAAUCCUUACUGCAGUCCUAUCAUCCAGGAUGAUCAAGACGUGUUG